This 468-nucleotide ribosomal RNA is filed under the name uncultured bacterium. Its description in RNAcentral is "partial 16S ribosomal RNA". It matches the Rfam family "Bacterial small subunit ribosomal RNA", at positions 28 to 507 of the family's 1533-position model. The record is from RNAcentral.
GAUGAACGCUGGCGGCGUGCUUAACACAUGCAAGUCGAACGGAAAGGCCCAAGCUUGCUUGGGUACUCGAGUGGCGAACGGGUGAGUAACACGUGGGUGAUCUGCCCUGCACUUCGGGAUAAGCCUGGGAAACUGGGUCUAAUACCGGAUAGGACGAUGGUUUGGAUGCCAUUGUGGAAAGUUUUUUCGGUGUGGGAUGAGCUCGCGGCCUAUCAGCUUGUUGGUGGGGUAAUGGCCUACCAAGGCGUCGACGGGUAGCCGGCCUGAGAGGGUGUACGGCGACAUUGGGGCUGAGAUACGGCCCAGACACCUACGGGAGGCAGCAGUGGGGAAUAUUGCACAAUGGGCGCAAGCCUGAUGCAGAGACGCCGCGUGGGGGAUGACGGCCUUCGGGGUGUAAACUCCUUUCGCUAGGGACGAAGCGUGUGUGUGACGGUACCUGGAGAAGAAGCACCGGCUAACUACGUG